Molecule: RNA transcript, 2305 nt
Organism: Carya illinoinensis
Lineage: Eukaryota; Viridiplantae; Streptophyta; Magnoliopsida; Fagales; Juglandaceae
Gene name: chaperonin 60 subunit alpha 2, chloroplastic
Exons: 10
Source: RefSeq, a predicted model, not a curated record
UUGUGUAGGCGCCUUGGGCAAUAUUGCUUGCCUAGGCAUUGAGCCGCCCCUUCUCAGAUGUUCGUUUCUUCCUCUUCCCCUUCUCAAAUGUUCGUUUCCUUCUCUUCUCCUCCUUUCUUCCCUCAGAAGCCUCUGUUUUCCAACUUUUGUAGGAGCCAAAGGGUAUCUGGGUUAUGGAGAAAUCCCCAGAUUGUGAGGAACAGCGUGGUCAGAGCAGGUCCGAAGAGGGUAUCUUUUGGUAGAGAAUGUAGGGAGGCCUUGCAAGCUGGGAUUGAUAAGCUGGCUGAUGCUGUUUCUCUCACCUUAGGACCUAGAGGACGUAAUGUUGUGCUUUCUGAGUCUGGAACGCUAAAAAUAAUAAAUGAUGGUGUUACAAUUGCUCGAUCAAUAGAGCUUUCAGAUGCAGUUGAGAAUGCAGGAGCGACGCUAAUCCAAGAGGUUGCAAGUAAAACGAAUGAUUUGGCUGGUGAUGGUACAACUACUGCAAUUGUUUUGGCUCGAGCAAUGAUCAAAUCUGGGUUGUUGGCUGUUGCCUUUGGGGCUAACCCGAUCUCUUUGAAGAAAGGCAUGGAAAAGACUGUAAAAGAAUUGGUUGAGGUCUUGAAGAAGAAAAGUGUGCCUGUAAAAGGAAGAGAUGAUAUUAAAGCUGUGGCCUCAAUUGCUGCUGGAAAUGAUGAAUUUGUUGGGAACUUAAUUGCUGAAGCUAUAGAAAAGAUUGGCCCUGAUGGAGUAAUCUCUAUAGAGUCAUCUUCAUCAUCUGAGACCUCUGUGAUAAUUGAAGAAGGAAUGAAGAUUGACAAGGGCUACAUGUCACCUCACUUCAUUACCGACCACAACAAAUCAGUAGUGGAGUUUGACGGUGCUAAAGUCCUAGUAACGGAUCAGAAGAUUUUGACUGUGAAAGAAAUUGUUCCUUUAUUGGAAAAGACUACCCAGCUUAGUGUCCCACUGCUAAUCAUUGCAGAGGAUAUCUCCGGGCAAGUACUGGAAACACUGGUGGUGAACAAAAUGCAAGGUUUACUAAAUGUUGCUGUGGUCAAAUGUCCAGGACUUGGAGAAGGAAAGAAAGCUCUGUUGCAAGAUAUUGCACUUAUGACAGGUGCUGAUUUUCUCUCGGGAGACUUGGGUUUGACACUUGAAGGUGCAACCUCAGAUCAGCUUGGCAUUGCACGAAAAGUAAUCAUAACCAGUAAUUCAACAACCAUAGUGGCUGAUCCAACUACUAAGGCUGAAAUUGAGGCAAGAAUUUUGCAGAUCAAGAAGGAUCUAGCAGAAACAGAUAAUGCAUACUUGUCAAGGAAGCUCUCAGAAAGAAUUGCUAAACUAUCUGGCGGAGUGGCUGUGAUUAAGGUAGGAGCACACACUGAGGUGGAACUUGAAGAUCGGAAACUCAGAGUUGAAGAUGCAAAGAAUGCCACAUUUGCUGCCAUGGCUGAAGGAUUAGUGCCUGGUGGUGGUACCACAUAUGUACAUCUCUCAGAGCUGAUUCCCAUCAUAAAGAAUUCUAUGGACGAUCCAGAUGAGCAGAUUGGUGCAGAGAUUGUGGCAAAGGUGCUCCUUGAACCUGCAAAAUUAAUUGCCACUAACGCCGGAGUUGAUGGAGACAUUGUUGUAGAGAAGACUAGAAUUUCUGAUUGGCAAACUGGGUACAAUGCAAUGACAGACAGAUAUGAAGAUCUUCUCAGUGCUGGAGUUGCAGAUCCUUGUCGUGUUUCCAGGUGUGCACUUCAAAAUGCAGUGUCAGUUGCUGGGGUAGUUCUAAGUACCCAAGCUGUAUUGGUUGAGAAAACAAAGAAGCCCAAGCCGCCUAUCCCUCUGGUUCCAGGCAUAACUCCUUAAAGCAAGCGAAAAAAGAGGUUAGGCUAGAUAAAAACUGAGAAGGGAUUGUACCAGAAUAUGCCUAUUGUGUUAGCUCAAGACCAAGCUUGUAAAUGUGAGUUUGCUUGGUUUAUACUUGAGAUGUUGAGGUAGCUUUAGAAGCUGUGAAGAGGCCAGGCAAGUCAACUUUCAAUCCAAGCCUUUGGAUUGCGAGAGCAUGAAAUGCUGCAGAUGGAGAAAAGGGAAUGCGUAUGGAGUAACGGUCAGUCUUUAGUUCUUCUGAGGCAUGGGAUGGGAUCAACACAGAAGUUGAUCUACCUUAUAUACUGUCUUAAAGAGGAUGGUAUAUUUCUUUUGUGUUUGCUCCUGGAAAUACUGUCAUGACUAAUAUUCCAGUUGGCUCAGAUCACAUUUUGUAUAUACAGCAGAGAAUGCCAAAUUGUUGAUUUAAAUGGCUAUUCCAAACAGCUAAAUGUUCCAUUUGCUA